AGGCGGCAAACCUCUUGAAUACUAACCGUUAAUUCUAUUGUUUUUCUUUUACGUUGUAGGCAAUGGUCAGAAAAUAAGUGUGAAAUUCCAGAAAAGACCCUUUGACAAUUCCAGCAUAUCGUGUACGCACUCAUGGAAGACGGCAAGAUAGAAAGUGGCGUGCAUAGGGCUGGUAGAUGAGAUUUUAACUCUCUUCCUGAAUAAGGAGGCAGCAAUGGCGAAGGGGAUCCAUGCAAGGAGGACCCAUGUAUUUAUAUUGGACUACUACUAUUUUACACCGCAAUUUAAAAUAGCAUCUUAGUCAUCAACAAAAAGGAGACUUUCCCAGUGCUUUACCACCCUUGGAUGGCUAUCAGUAGGAAUUCAAAAGAGCAACGGCCUCAAAUUACUACCCUGUGGCACAGCAAAAACUGCAGAAAAACCCUCAGACCUUGAUUUUGCAACUUAAAAACUUAAAAACUUAAAAACCUGUUGUAGUGAGGUCAGGUACUUUACGUGAAAAUCGAGUAGAAAAUAGCCCACUAAGGUCAAAGCAAGAAUGGAAAACUGAAAAAAAGGCUUCUGUCAUAAGUCUGCAUGUCAAGAUGUUGUAGUUGUUCAAUGGAAGGAACAAAGUUGUAGCACCUGCUUCAAAUUUUGACGUAUCUGCAAACACAACAGCUCCACGUUACUGCAGAGAAACUAAAUCUAAGGUCAACAUGGCAACAUCGCCCUAGCUCAGUGAAUAAGCCGUAAACCAAGAACGAUUUUAUUUUUUUUGGUUUUUUGACCUUUAUUUUGUUCAAAAAGACCCUGUAGCUGCUUGUUGUAUUUAGGUAUGUAGUACAGAUGCUGUUUUACUAUUUUAAAGUUAAUUUACCUUACUCAGCGCCCCUAUUUACUCCGGGGUUCCGUAAGCUUCUAGGGUAAAAGAAACACAAAAGAGCAGUUUUAAAACAGCACCGACAGUUUUGUGUUCUAUAAAGAUACUAGAAAAGUCGUAUAUAGAGAAAUCUUCUUUUAGCAGUAAAAUAGCAGAAAACUGUUUUAUAAACUGUUGCUAAAAUUAGUAUCUUAAAUUGUUUUCAAUUAAUGUUUUCUAUUAAACACCCAAAUUCACUUUGGCAGUUUUUUAGGCAUUUUAUUUUUAUGCAAUAUUUAGGAUUUAAAAGAAAGUUUUUUUUAUUGCCUUCGAAAAAAUUAAAGAAUAGCGCACACCAAUAAAGCGACCGUAUUUUCUUCCCGUCUGAACUAUUAAUUAUUAUUUUCUUCUAUUAACAAACUUUUGUCCGUGGGGACCAGUAGACAUUUUUAAAAUUUUUGUCAGUACUACAAAAAAAAAUCUCCACAAUUAUCCAAGGAGUGCCCUAAACACGCAGUGGGGAAGAGACCUGCCUUAUCCUCGUAAGACUCCGAGUUCAAGCCUUAGCAUGGUACUCUACCCAACUUUUUCUUUUUUUAGUACUUCGAAAAAAUUAACAUCUUUAGUAAAUAUACAGGGUGUCCCGGUUCAUGUGGGAAAUCUCUCGGAUUCAGAUAGAACAUCGAAAAAUAUUACCGAACGUUCCUAUAAAAAAAUUCCUACAGGCCUUCUUUACGAAGUUACAGCCUCCUAAAGGACGCUGCUGGAAAUUGGUUUUUCAUAAAUUACUUUUAAACUACCCGGUAGAAUUUAAUAAAAAUUUUAGGUGAUGAACACUAUUAGGGACCUCUUAAAAUGACAUCCUUAAAAUACAUUUACCUUGUUUACUUUACCAGGGGCGGACUAGGUUGUACACUUUAAUGCAUAUAUUUUUAACACCCUGUAUGUUAAAGUCUAAAAAAAAUAAAUUUGGAUACCUUGAACCCUAGGCUAAAAAAAGGUACUCUUGUUCAUUAUCGAUAAAAUGAACCGUUUUGGAAAAAAA
Molecule: long non-coding RNA, 1886 nt
Organism: Anthonomus grandis grandis
Lineage: Eukaryota; Metazoa; Arthropoda; Insecta; Coleoptera; Curculionidae
Exons: 4
Source: RefSeq, a predicted model, not a curated record